GACGAACGCUGGCGGCGUGCUUAACAUAUGCAAGUCGAACGGAAAGGCCCUGCUUUUGUGGGGUGCUCGAGUGGCGAACGGGUGAGUAACACGUGAGUAACCUGCCCUUGACUUUGGGAUAACUUCAGGAAACUGGGGCUAAUACCGGAUAGGAGCUCCUGCUGCAUGGUGGGGGUUGGAAAGUUUCGGCGGUUGGGGAUGGACUCGCGGCUUAUCAGCUUGUUGGUGGGGUAGUGGCUUACCAAGGCUUUGACGGGUAGCCGGCCUGAGAGGGUGACCGGCCACAUUGGGACUGAGAUACGGCCCAGACUCCUACGGGAGGCAGCAGUGGGGAAUAUUGCACAAUGGGCGGAAGCCUGAUGCAGCAACGCCGCGUGCGGGAUGACGGCCUUCGGGUUGUAAACCGCUUUCGCCUGUGACGAAGCGUGAGUGACGGUAAUGGGUAAAGAAGCACCGGCUAACUACGUGCCAGCAGCCGCGGUGAUACGUAGGGUGCGAGCGUUGUCCGGAUUUAUUGGGCGUAAAGGGCUCGUAGGUGGUUGAUCGCGUCGGAAGUGUAAUCUUGGGGCUUAACCCUGAGCGUGCUUUCGAUACGGGUUGACUUGAGGAAGGUAGGGGAGAAUGGAAUUCCUGGUGGAGCGGUGGAAUGCGCAGAUAUCAGGAGGAACGCCAGUGGCGAAGGCGGUUCUCUGGGCCUUUCCUGACGCUGAGGAGCGAAAGCGUGGGGAGCGAACAGGCUUAGAUACCCUGGUAGUCCACGCUGUAAACGGUGGGUACUAGGUGUGGGGUCCAUUCCACGGGUUCCGUGCCGUAGCUAACGCUUUAAGUACCCCGCCUGGGGAGUACGGCCGCAAGGCUAAAACUCAAAGGAAUUGACGGGGCCCCGCACAAGCGGCGGAGCAUGCGGAUUAAUUCGAUGCAACGCGUAGAACCUUACCUGGGUUUGACAUGGAUCGGGAGUGCUCAGAGAUGGGUGUGCCUCUUUUGGGGUCGGUUCACAGGUGGUGCAUGCCUGUCGUCAGCUCGUGUCGUGAGAUGUUGGGUUAAGUCCCGCAACGAGCGCAACCCUUGUUCACUGUUGCCAGCACGUUAUGGUGGGGACUCAGUGGAGACCGCCGGGGUCAACUCGGAGGAAGGUGGGGAUGACGUCAAGUCAUCAUGCCCCUUAUGUCCAGGGCUUCACGCAUGCUACAAUGGCUGGUACAGAGAGUGGCGAGCCUGUGAGGGUGAGCGAAUCUCGGAAAGCCGGUCUCAGUUCGGAUUGGGGUCUGCAACUCGACCUCAUGAAGUCGGAGUCGCUAGUAAUCGCAGAUCAGCAACGCUGCGGUGAAUACGUUCCCGGGGCU
This 1346-nucleotide ribosomal RNA is filed under the name uncultured bacterium. RNAcentral describes it as "partial 16S ribosomal RNA". It matches the Rfam family "Bacterial small subunit ribosomal RNA", at positions 28 to 1381 of the family's 1533-position model. The record is from RNAcentral.